AAGUGGCGCACGGGUGCGUAACACGUGGAUGACCUACCCCUUGGUUCGGGACAACAGCGGGAAACUGCUGCUAAUACCGGAUGUGUCGUAGCAAUACGAGAAAGGCCCGCAAGGGGUCGCCAGAGGACGGGUCCGCGUCCCAUCAGCUAGUUGGUGAGGUAAUGGCUCACCAAGGCGAAGACGGGUAGCUGGUCUGAGAGGAUGAUCAGCCACACUGGAACUGAGACACGGUCCAGACUCCUACGGGGAGGCAGCAGUGGGGAAUAUUGCGCAAUGGGCGAAAGCCUGACGCAGCCACGCCGCGUGAGCGAUGAAGGUCUUCGGAUCGUAAAGCUCUGGUGGGGGGAGAAGAAGAAAGUCGGUGAAGAGCCGACCCUGACGGUAUCCCCUUAGCAAGCACCGGCUAACUCCGUGCCAGCAGCCGCGGUAAUACGGAGGGUGCAAACGUUGCUCGGAAUCAUUGGGCGUAAAGCGCGCGUA
This 480-nucleotide ribosomal RNA is filed under the name uncultured bacterium. Its description in RNAcentral is "bacterial SSU rRNA". It matches the Rfam family "Bacterial small subunit ribosomal RNA", at positions 93 to 573 of the family's 1533-position model. The record is from RNAcentral.